This is an RNA transcript of Cercocebus atys (sooty mangabey), 2517 nucleotides long. It is a transcript of the gene named cyclin-dependent kinase-like 3, with no coding region annotated. The transcript has 13 exons. The record is from RefSeq and is a predicted model, not a curated record. Lineage: Eukaryota; Metazoa; Chordata; Mammalia; Primates; Cercopithecidae.
AGUAGUAAAAGCCCAGCUUGAAAAUGGAGAUGUAUGAAACCCUUGGAAAAGUGGGAGAGGGAAGUUACGGAACAGUCAUGAAAUGUAAACAUAAGAAUACUGGGCAGAUAGUGGCCAUUAAGAUAUUUUAUGAGAGACCAGAACAAUCUGUCAACAAAAUUGCGAUGAGAGAAAUAAAGUUUCUAAAGCAAUUUCAUCAUGAAAACCUGGUCAAUCUGAUUGAAGUUUUUAGACAGAAAAAGAAAAUUCAUUUGGUAUUUGAAUUUAUUGACCACACAGUAUUAGAUGAGUUACAACAUUAUUGUCAUGGACUAGAGAGUAAACGACUUAGAAAAUACCUCUUCCAGAUCCUUCGAGCAAUUGACUAUCUUCACAGUAAUAAUAUCAUUCAUCGCGAUAUAAAACCUGAGAAUAUUUUAGUAUCCCAGUCAGGAAUUACUAAGCUCUGUGAUUUUGGUUUUGCACGAACACUAGCAGCUCCUGGGGACAUUUAUACGGACUAUGUGGCCACACGCUGGUAUAGAGCUCCAGAAUUAGUAUUAAAAGAUACUUCUUAUGGAAAACCUGUGGAUAUCUGGGCUUUGGGCUGUAUGAUCAUUGAGAUGGCCACUGGAAAUCCCUAUCUUCCUAGUAGCUCUGAUUUGGAUUUACUCCAUAAAAUUGUUUUGAAAGUGGGCAAUUUGUCACCUCACUUGCAGAAUAUCUUUUCCAAGAGCCCCAUUUUUGCUGGGGUAGUUCUUCCUCAAGUUCAACACCCCAAAAAUGCAAGAAAAAAAUAUCCAAACCUUAAUGGAUUGUUGGCAGAUAUAGUUCAUGCUUGUUUACAAAUUGAUCCUGCUGACAGGAUAUCAUCUAGUGAUCUUUUGCAUCAUGAGUAUUUUACUAGAGAUGGAUUUAUUGAAAAAUUCAUGCCAGAACUGAAAGCUAAAUUACUGCAGGAAGCAAAAGUCAAUUCAUUAAUAAAGCCAAAAGAGAGUUCUAAAGAAAAUGAACUCAGGAAAGAUGAAAGAAAAACAGUUUAUACCAAUACACUGCUAAGUAGUUCAGUUUUGGGAAAGGAAAUAGAAAAAGAGAAAAAGCCCAAGGAGAUCAAAGUCAGAGUUAUUAAAGUCAAAGGAGGAAGAGGAGAUAUCUCAGAACCAAAAAAGAAAGAGUAUGAAGGUGGACUUUGUCAACAGGAUGCAAAUGAAAAUGUUCAUCCUAUGUCUCCAGAUACAAAACUUGUAACCAUUGAACCGCCAAACCCUAUCAAUCCCAGCACUAACUGUAAUGGCUUGAAAGAAAAUCCACAUUGCGGAGGUUCUAUGACAAUGCCACCCAUCAAUCUAACUAACAGUAAUUUGAUGGCUGCAAAUCUCAAUUCAAAUCUCUUUCACCCCAGUGUGAGGUUAACUGAAAGAGCAAAAAAGAGACGCACUUCUUCACAAUCUAUUGGACAAGUUAUGCCUAAUAGCAGGCAAGAGGAUCCAGGUCCUAUUCAAAGCCAAAUGGAGAAGGGUAUAUUUAAUGAGCGAACAGGUCACAGUGACCAAAUGUCUAAUGAGAACAAAAGGAAGCUGAAUUUUUCCAGAUCUGACAGGAAAGAAUUCCAUUUUCCAGAAUUGCCUGUCACAAUACAGCCAAAAGAUACGAAAGGAAUGGAAGUUAAACAGAUAAAAAUGCUGAAGAGGGAGUCAAAGAAAACAGAUUCAUCUAAGAUACCAACUUUACUUAAUGUGGAUCAAAAUCAAGAAAAACAAGAGGCUUCCACUGUUUGCAACAUCUUUCCUGGCUGGUGGAAGAAAGGCAGGCUCAACUGAUGGUCCUAAUCUCCAAUGGGGGCAACAAUAUUGCCCACCCCACAGGCUCUUUUGGAACUUUGCUACUCUAAAGCUGAAAAAUUCUGGAUUAUCCUCCAAGAUGUAACUAAACCAUCAGCUUCUGUGGAAAUACUUCCCCAGCUUCCCCAAGCAACAAGGCCAUCCCUCUUCUGUGCAUAUUUAAUAAAUAAUUUGUUUGCCUGUUGGACUAUGUGUCUCCCCUCAGCACAAGCUCGGUGAACUGUGUAGUAUGCAACUUCAGGCUUCCCCUCCUUUCCCAGCACCCCUCUCUACCACCUCUCCACCACCUCUCCCUCACAUGCAUUCCUAUGCCUGCCGUGGGGUAAUUGCUAAUUAAAUGUUGAUUGCUGAAAUAGAGAGCUAUGGAGGUUCAGGAAUGGUCUUCUAGAUUUCCCAGAGCUGGGACUCAAACCCCUUUUUGGAUCUCUGAUGCCUGAGAUAAUCUGAUGAAAGUUAAGAACUUUUCCCCAGAAAAAAAAGCACAGGCAAAAGAAAAUUCCCAAUUGUACAGACUAAAUAGCCAUACUAACACAUAUACAAUUAUGUGCAUGUAAAACUGGGGAAAUCUGGAUAAGAUAGGUGAAUUGAAUCAAUAUCAGUUUCCAAGUUGCGAUAUGGUACUAUAAUACCGCAAGAUGUUACCACUGAGAAACUGGGAUCUCCCUGUAUUAUUUCUUAUAAAUGUAUGUGAAUCUAA